GAACGCUGGCGGCAGGCCUAACACAUGCAAGUCGAGCGGUAGAGAGAAGCUUGCUUCUCUUGAGAGCGGCGGACGGGUGAGUAAUGCCUAGGAAUCUGCCUGGUAGUGGGGGAUAACGUUCGGAAACGGACGCUAAUACCGCAUACGUCCUACGGGAGAAAGCAGGGGACCUUCGGGCCUUGCGCUAUCAGAUGAGCCUAGGUCGGAUUAGCUAGUUGGUGAGGUAAUGGCUCACCAAGGCGACGAUCCGUAACUGGUCUGAGAGGAUGAUCAGUCACACUGGAACUGAGACACGGUCCAGACUCCUACGGGAGGCAGCAGUGGGGAAUAUUGGACAAUGGGCGAAAGCCUGAUCCAGCCAUGCCGCGUGUGUGAAGAAGGUCUUCGGAUUGUAAAGCACUUUAAGUUGGGAGGAAGGGCAGUUACCUAAUACGUGAUUGUUAGGACGUUACCGACAGAAUAAGCAC
This 467-nucleotide ribosomal RNA is filed under the name Pseudomonas veronii. RNAcentral's name for it is "bacterial SSU rRNA". It matches the Rfam family "Bacterial small subunit ribosomal RNA", at positions 31 to 493 of the family's 1533-position model. Lineage: Bacteria; Pseudomonadati; Pseudomonadota; Gammaproteobacteria; Pseudomonadales; Pseudomonadaceae. The record is from RNAcentral.